Non-coding RNA from Sus scrofa (pig), 1476 nucleotides. NCBI's taxonomy places the organism in Eukaryota, Metazoa, Chordata, Mammalia, Artiodactyla, Suidae. The record is from RefSeq and is a predicted model, not a curated record.
GUAUUCGUUUGCUAGGGUUGCCAUAAUGAAGUAUCACUACAGCAGCCGACAACAAAAGUGGCUCAAACAACAGAAAUUGAUUCUUUCACAAUUCUGGAAAUUGGAAGAACAAGACCAAGGUGUGAACAGUUUAUAGGAACAUCACCAGUAACUGAUUUCUUUUAAAGCCGGGUUUAAAGCUGAAACUUCUCCCAGCCAGAAGAGUGCCCUCCCCACCAAGAAAAAUGUGUGAUGAUUUAUUGAAAAUGUCUAAAUAGAAGAAUUGUUUUUCAUUAAUUAAAGAACAGAAAGGGAUUGUACCCUGAACAACGCAAGAAGUUCCCCAACCAGCACCACAGCACCGACGGGAGCCGCAGCAAUGACACCUCGCAAUCCUUAAGCUGCUGAACAACCAGGGAACUCCCAUCAUGUGAAGUAUUGUCAGAUUGACUAUGCUUCAGAAUCUCUCAGGAAGCCAGUACUCUGAAGCCCUUGACAGCACCCUGGGGGGGGGGCAGGAAUUGGUAGUUUCCAUGGCAGCGCGAAGAAAGCCUCCUGCAGCCAGAGGUAGGUGGAGCUUGGGUAGCCCUUUGCCGCUGGUGAAGGGAAUGUGGGAUGCUGCUUAGUUUCCAUGUCCUGCCAAUUACUGGCUGUCUUGAGUUAGGACCCUUCACGCCACAAGUAGCAGAAAUGGGGGACUUGGUACCAAGGAUUCUGGGGUAGUUCAGGAAGGCAGGCUAGGUGGACCUUCACAAUGACUGGACGAGGCUUUGUGGAGCUGUCUUUCAGGAGCUGUAAGUGGCUGGCCUUGCCUGACUUCCCUGUUUGUCUGCUUUAUUUCUCCCUUGCUAGCACACAGCAACGAGACCACUUAUCUGCCCCACAGAUAAGGUGUUCUCCUGCUUUUGAAUUUUCUUCUCCUCACUCCAUAGAUACUGACUAGAGUCUAUGAAUUCAAAUGCUUGAAGAGAAGGCAUUUGAUUAUCCUAAAUGUGGGCAAGUGGUGUUCAGCCCAGGGCCAAUUAGCUUCAGCCACAGGGCCAGGUCACGUGGCUCAAACACGGCUGCCAAUCUCCUCCACCAUCCCCUGGGUAGAUGGUGGGUGAAGGAGGAAGGACAUUCUCGCAUAAGAGCCGUGUGUGUGACUUGGCAGACCCUGCAAACUGUAUCCAAUACAUGUUGUAACUUUGGGAAAAAAAAUCACUUCACAUCACAGAGCCCUAGUUUUCUCCUCUAAAAAACAGAUAAAGCUGCUUGCCUUUGAAGGCUGUAGAAUUUACAGGCAACAACUUGCAAGUGAGCCCUAAACUCCAAAGCUCUAAAAACUGAAGUUUUAAUCUUAGUCUACAACAACAACAUUCACUGAGAAAUUAUUUAUUGAGCACUCAGUACACUCUGGGAAUACUUUUCAAUAUAAAAGUAAAGAGCAAAGACAGGAAUUCCCAUUUUGUGGCUCAGUGGGAACUACCCUGACCAAUAUCCAUAAAGAUGUGGGUU